Molecule: non-coding RNA, 309 nt
Organism: Anolis sagrei ordinatus
Lineage: Eukaryota; Metazoa; Chordata; Lepidosauria; Squamata; Anolidae
Source: RefSeq, a predicted model, not a curated record
CUCCAGGGUCAUGUUUGAAGCAGUAAAUGAAGCUGAUCACAACCUGUCUGACAUCAACAUCCACUCCUCACUGUCCAAAUUCUAGACACAGACAGUUCAUCUCAAUAGUUUAUAGAAGAAACAAAGACUAUUGAUAUUUCGUCUCUCAGCAAAUAGUGAAAGCUCCUGAAAUCGCCAAUCUAACAACAGGAAUCCUGGGGGAAAAAACUUAUUUUUUUCAAGUUAUCUUUUUUAAAUCAUUUGACUGCUGAAAAUAUCUAUCUACUAUAUAGAUUUUCAAGUAUUAAUAAAAUGUUUUAGUGUUCAAAA